GUAGGGAAUAUUGGGCAAUGGUCGGAAGACUGACCCAGCCAUGCCGCGUGCAGGAAGACGGCCCUCUGGGUUGUAAACUGCUUUUAUCUGGGAAGAAAAAGGCCAUGCGUGGCAAAUUGCCGGUACCAGAUGAAUAAGCACCGGCUAACUUCGUGCCAGCAGCCGCGGUAAUACGGAGGGUGCGAGCGUUGUCCGGAUUUAUUGGGUUUAAAGGGUGCGUAGGCGGCUGAUUAAGUCAGCGGUUAAAGACUUCGGCUUAACCGGAGCAGUGCCGUUGAUACUGGUUGGCGUGAGUGUCGGAGGGGUACAUGGAAUUGAUGGUGUAGCGGUGAAAUGCAUAGAUACCAUCAGGAACACCGAUAGCGAAGGCAUUGUACUGGCCGACAACUGACGCUGAUGCACGAAAGUGUGGGGAUCGAACAGGAUUAGAUACCCCAGUAGUCC
This 444-nucleotide ribosomal RNA is filed under the name uncultured bacterium. Its description in RNAcentral is "partial 16S ribosomal RNA". It matches the Rfam family "Bacterial small subunit ribosomal RNA", at positions 354 to 796 of the family's 1533-position model. The record is from RNAcentral.